Molecule: ribosomal RNA, 484 nt
Filed under: uncultured bacterium
Lineage: Bacteria
Description: partial 16S ribosomal RNA
Rfam family: Bacterial small subunit ribosomal RNA
Source: RNAcentral
AUUGAACGCUGGCGGCAGGCCUAACACAUGCAAGUCGAGCGGAUGAAGGGAGCUUGCUCCUGGAUUCAGCGGCGGACGGGUGAGUAAUGCCUAGGAAUCUGCCUGGUAGUGGGGGAUAACGUCCGGAAGCGGGCGCUAAUACCGCAUACGUCCUGAGGGAGAAAGUGGGGGAUCUUCGGGCCUCACGCUAUCAGAUGAGCCUAGGUCGGAUUAGCUAGUUGGUGGGGUAAAGGCCUACCAAGGCGACGAUCCGUAACUGGUCUGAGAGGAUGAUCAGUCACACUGGAACUGAGACACGGUCCAGACUCCUACGGGAGGCAGCAGUGGGGAAUAUUGGACAAUGGGCGAAAGCCUGAUCCAGCCAUGCCGCGUGUGUGAAGAAGGUCUUCGGAUUGUAAAGCACUUUAAGUUGGGAGGAAGGGCAGUAAGUUAAUACCUUGCUGUUUUGACGUUACCAACAGAAUAAGCACCGGCUAACUUCGUG